RNAcentral lists this ribosomal RNA (477 nucleotides) under uncultured bacterium. Its description in RNAcentral is "partial 16S ribosomal RNA". It matches the Rfam family "Bacterial small subunit ribosomal RNA", at positions 28 to 507 of the family's 1533-position model. The record is from RNAcentral.
GAUGAACGCUGGCGGCGUGCCUAAUACAUGCAAGUCGAACGGACAGGCGAGGAGCUUGUGGGGUUCAUGAGAGGCGCAGGGGUGAGUGAAACGCGUGUAUACUGCACCUAUAAGAGGGAUAACACUAGGGAAAUGGGGCUCUUAUAGCGUAGGAGAUCCUGAUGCAUGGUGGGGGAUGGAGAGAGACGGUGUUUUUGGCUGGUCUAGAUGGAUACGAGCUUCAUGAGCUGGUUGGGGGGGUAACGGCAUACCAAGGCAACGAUGGGUAGCCGGCCUGAGAGGGGGACCGGCCACAUGGGGACUGAGAGACGGCCCAGACGCCUACGGGAGGCAGCAGUGGGGAAUAUUGCACAAUGGGCGGAAGCCUGAUGCAGCAACGCCGCGUGCGGGAUGACGUCCUUCGGGUGGUAAACCGCUGUCGCCGGUGACGAAGCGUGAGUGACGGUAAUGGGUAAAGAAGCACCGGCUAACUACGUG